GUGUUACAGCAGACCCCAGGAAGACUCACAAAAAAUCACAUGAAGUUGCCCAUCAUGACUUUGUACUGGGGAACUGAGAAUAAAAGGGAGCGAAUUUCACCCUCCAGGACCCAGAGGACAAAGAAACUUAAGGAACCCCUGAGUACUGUUGAUGGUAUGAAGUGCAGGAGGACCUGGGAGCUCUGCUUGUCGUCCCACGGAGGCUUUUUAGCGUGCCAAUCACCACGGAAUGAGGACAAAUUCCAGUACAGGCUGAUGAGUAGUCACUUUUCCUGCUGCUGCUGAAGCCACUGGAAAAAUCUGAUUGAUCCAGGAUGUCACGUCAGAGCCUAAUUCCCCUUUCUGCAAACACCCAUAUGCUCGUGUUCAGUGCUUAAUAAAAGGGCCUGGCAGCCCAGCAAGAUAAUAAAAGAUAAAGCAAACUGUACGACAAUGGAAAAUGCUGAGCUCCCUGAGUAAUUACAGUUGUGUAAGACGGU
Molecule: long non-coding RNA, 479 nt
Organism: Pezoporus flaviventris
Lineage: Eukaryota; Metazoa; Chordata; Aves; Psittaciformes; Psittacidae
Exons: 2
Source: RefSeq, a predicted model, not a curated record